This 107-nucleotide small nuclear RNA is filed under the name Medicago truncatula (barrel medic). RNAcentral describes it as "sRNA gene39056". It matches the Rfam family "U1 spliceosomal RNA". From Rfam's summary of the family: U1 is a small nuclear RNA (snRNA) component of the spliceosome (involved in pre-mRNA splicing). Its 5' end forms complementary base pairs with the 5' splice junction, thus defining the 5' donor site of an intron. The record is from RNAcentral. Lineage: Eukaryota; Viridiplantae; Streptophyta; Magnoliopsida; Fabales; Fabaceae.
AGACUUACCUAGAUGGGGUCUUGAUGGGUGAGUGACCUCCAUUGCACAUAGGAGGGGUGCUAAAAUACGGUCUGCCCAAGUGGCAGAUCCUACAUCAUUACUUAAUC